Molecule: ribosomal RNA, 447 nt
Filed under: uncultured bacterium
Lineage: Bacteria
Description: bacterial SSU rRNA
Rfam family: Bacterial small subunit ribosomal RNA
Source: RNAcentral
UCGGGAAUUUUGGGCAAUGGGCGAAAGCCUGACCCAGCAACGCCGCGUGAAGGAUGAAGUAUUUCGGUAUGUAAACUUCGUAAGAAUAGGAAGAAUAAAUGACGGUACUAUUUGUAAGGUCCGGCUAACUACGUGCCAGCAGCCGCGGUAAUACGUAGGGACCAAGCGUUGUUCGGAUUUACUGGGCGUAAAGCGCACGUAGGCGGAUUGAUAAGUUAGAGGUGAAAUCCCGGGGCUCAACCUCGGAACUGCCUUUGAUACUGUUAGUCUCGAGUCCGAUAGAGGUGAGUGGAAUUCCUAGUGUAGAGGUGAAAUUCGUAGAUAUUAGGAAGAACACCAGUGGCGAAGGCGGCUCACUGGACGUGUAUUGACGCUGAGGUACGAAAGCGUGGGGAGCAAACAGGAUUAGAUACCCCCGUAGUCCCUGAGCGGGCUGGCAAGGCGCAU